This is a long non-coding RNA of Felis catus (domestic cat), 3376 nucleotides long. RefSeq lists it as uncharacterized. The record is from RefSeq and is a predicted model, not a curated record. The transcript has 2 exons. NCBI's taxonomy places the organism in Eukaryota, Metazoa, Chordata, Mammalia, Carnivora, Felidae.
CUUUUUUUUCUUGAGUUCCUGUUUCAUUUUCCAAAGUGUAACUUCUCUGUGCCACAGUUUUCUCAUCUAUAAAUUUAGAGUAAAAAUAAUGCCAUAGGGUUGAUGUGAAGGUUCAAAGUUAGUUCCUGCGAAGUGCUAAGAAGACUACCUUGCAAGUAUUGCUCUGUAAUAUUUUCAGAAAGGGAAGUAAAACUCCCUGAGUCCAAAAACCCUUGAAAUAUCUUUAUUUUCUACCACACCACUUGGUUGAUAGUUUGGAAUAGAAUUUCAGUUUCAAAAUAACUUUCCCUUAAAACCUGUGCCUUCAUCCUCCAACAUUAUAUUCUGUUGGUAAGUCAGUUCAGUUCUUGUCCUUUGUAGACCAUCUUUUUUUUUUUCUUCCUUCUAGAAGCAGCUAGGGCUCUUGUUUUCUCAUUGGGGCUCUACAAUGGUAACAGAGUAUAGGCGGUAGUUUUGUAUUCUCUUCCACUCGUCCUACUUAGUACUUGCUAUGCCCUUUCUAUUUCAAAACUCAGGUUCUGUCUUUAGUUGAGAAGAUUCUCCUGUUUUAUUUCCUUUAUUUCCCCUCCUCUAUUGUCCUUGUUAUCUGAUUCUGGAGAUCUAAGGAUGCUAUUAGAAUUUUAAAAAAUUAUCUUCUGUUCCAAUAGUUAUUUCUCUUCCCACUGGGAUUAGUUGUCCAUUUCUUCCUCUUGAAUAUUCUAUUUUCUUUUUUCCCUUUUCAAAUUCCUGCUGUUUUUUGGUUGUGUCUUCAUGAAUGUUGAGCAAAGGUAGUUGGUGAGCAAAGGUAGUUGAUGUGGUUUCCUGUGCAAAUGUGUUGGUCUGUAAAGCAGAACCAUCACCCUCUUGACCUGGACGCACAUGGGUGGCUCUGGUAACAGGUGCGCUUCCCCCGGGGUGCCAGAGCAGAGAACAGGCUUGAAACCUUCCAUCAUUGGUUCUUUCCUCAGAUGAUCCCAAUUCUUCAGAGGUAAAAAAAUAUAUCCAGUAAAAUAAUUAUUUAAUUGUCUCGUAAAGCAAAUCCGUACAUUAACUGAAUUUUAUCUGCUUUCAUUCUGGGGAGAAGAAGGCAGCAGAGCGCAUAAGGGACCGAAUUGUAAUGAAGGACUAGGCAGAGAGUUGAUAGAGCGGCAUAAACGUUUGCAGAGACAAAGCACCAUUACGUUUCUCCAUUCGUGAUUGCCCGUGGCUCAUCUGGUGUUUUGUUGCUCAAGAAGCUGACAGCCUGAUGGGCCUUCCCACGUGCCCCUCCACGCAUUCCCGGGGCAUCACUCACUAGACGCUGUUUGCUGGAUCCAUGUGGUGGGUCUCUUCCUACCUGGUCCCCAUCUCUGGGGUCUCCUUGCAGUGGCUGACUCUCCUGGGAUCUCUGUGGGAUCUCAGCCAUCAUCACAGUGGUUAAACCUCCGUCUCUAGCCCACGUCUCUCUCUGAAGUCCCACCUGGGGGUCCCCUUCUCCCACGCACAGCCCCCAGGCUGAGGUCAGCAUUUUUCCUGCUCUCUUGUUCCCAAGAGCCUAUUUUGCUUUGUGGUGUCCCAUCUAUCUGGUGAUCCGAGCCUGGCAGCAGGAGACAUCACACGCAGGGCCCUUUAUUUCACCUCUGACAUCUUAGUAAUUACGUGAUCUUGUCUUUCGUGGUGUGAGCUGCUUUAACAAACACCGCGGACUGGGGGGCUUAAACAACAGAGAUUUAUUUCUCACAGUUUUGGGGGCUGGAAAUCUGAGAUCGGGGUACGGCCUGAGCAGCUGGGGGUCCUCUCCAUAGUUUGCAGAUGCACGCCUCUAGCAGAGAGAAGGUCACCUCUGGUGUCUUUCUUAGAAGGGCACUAAUGCCACUGAGGGGGCUCCACGCUUAUGACCUACUCACCUCCCAGAGGCCCCUCUCCUGAUAUUGUCACACUGGGGACUGGGCUUCGAUGUGUGGAUUUGGGGGGACACUCACUUUCAGUCCGUGGACUAUCUUGUAUCUUUCACGCACCUGUUGUGUGUCCCCUUCUCAGUCUUCUCAUGCUUUAGCUCAAGUCUUCCUUGUCCUGGUCUGCGUGGCCUCUAGAUGUUUUCUCCCUGUGCUUGUGUGUGUUUUUCUCUGACGACACUGCACACAUCCAGAGUGUGGCUCUUGUGCUGCAAGGUCUUGUGUGCGGGACCAUACCUGUCUGUCUGUCUGUCUGUCUGUCUGUCUUCUCCUCUAAGUCCUUAGGGCCUCCGUCCCCAAUCUCUUAUGCACCCACAACAACAAUGACAACCAGUGGCAAUUAAGCUCCCCAUGGGUAGGGCUUUUUAUACUUUUCCUGUUUUAUUCGCAGCUGGUCUCCAGGACCUAGAACAGUGCACGACCUACCAUUGGUGUCGAAGAAAUAGGGUAUGAAUCCACUCAUACCUAUUUCCAUCCAUCUGACAAGUGCGUCUUCCCCAGCUCCUGUCCCUGUCUCCUGACUUUUCCUCUUUCCCUCCCUAUCAGGUGUCACACACGAAUACAAACCACUCUGAUAGCACCUUCCGGACAAUAGUGGAGAAGAAUGCAUUGGCCACGCCUGUGGCUGCAUCCCGUGGGCUGGGACACGUUAAUCACCUCUGGCAAAGCUACUCCGACUGGAAGUCACAAAGGGGGUUGCUGCUUGGUUGUCCUGUCCUGUAGAGUAUGUUGGGAUUGUUUCCAGGCCAGAUUGGUGAAUGAAAUAGAUGUGUGUUGGGUUCAUACCCUGCACCCCCCUCAGUCUUCAACCCCUGGUGUUCCUUCCAGAUGAUGAGACUCAGAGACCGCCGUUCAACUCCAUUAUCCUCGUAAUUACCGCUUUCCAAAGUUCUCCAGCAUCUGAGAUGUUGUACCUACAGUGCGUUCCUUCCCUUCCACGCUGUCUGUCCCAGUGCGCCAGUGGUCAAAGUUUUAACACUGCGCCAUGACAUCCUGCCAAGGGCUUUCAGUACCCCACCUGCCAGCGGUGUGGCAGAUGGAUGCCGUGCGCUCCAGGGCUGAGUUCUCCCAUCUGAAUUGCUACUUGUAGACAAUCUGAUGGACUGGGCACCUUGGGAGCGUAAGGAAGCUGCCAAGGGUACUUCUUCAGCCUUUGUUCUGAUGAAGAGCACAGGGCGCGUGCGUAUUCCCACUGCAUCGAUUUGAAAAUACUUGGGUGUGUUUGCAGAGGAGGGGACUUGUCAGUUGCAGUGGUGGUGGGCCUCAUGGGCGCAGGCACGCCUGGCGGGGAACUAGGGACCAGCAGGGGAUUUCCAUCACCCAGAAGAGAGAGGUACCUUAGGCCAAGAGUGAACUUGUUUUAAAUGACAGGAGUGGCUAAAGACUCAGGUAACUGAAGAGAGAGAAAGACAAGAUUUGAAGAAUCUGGUAAAUGAAUAGUUAGCCUUUGUGUGUCCUAGGAA